GAGUGUAGCUCAGUGAUAGAGCACUUGCCUAACAUGCACAAGGCCCUGGGUUUGAGCCUCAACACCA
Molecule: transfer RNA, 67 nt
Filed under: Marmota monax (woodchuck)
Lineage: Eukaryota; Metazoa; Chordata; Mammalia; Rodentia; Sciuridae
Description: tRNA.Val
Source: RNAcentral